AGAUUUCUGCAAUGUGCUACAUGUGAAACUUCCUCCUUAUCCUAUAGUUGAUUCUCUAUGCCAUGAACUUUUUAUGUAGAGGCACACAACCAAUAAAAAGGUUUGUGCAUCAAAACUAAAUAUCUAUUGUCCCCUACUCUCAAAAGAUUUCUGCAAUACGCUACUUCAAACUUCCCUCUCCAUUAUGAUUCUCUACGCCAUGAACUGUUUCUAUAAAGAGGCACAC
Long non-coding RNA from Cyprinus carpio (common carp), 226 nucleotides. RefSeq lists it as uncharacterized. NCBI's taxonomy places the organism in Eukaryota, Metazoa, Chordata, Actinopteri, Cypriniformes, Cyprinidae. The record is from RefSeq and is a predicted model, not a curated record. The transcript has 3 exons.